GAUGAACACUGGCGGCGUGCCUAAUACAUGCAAGUCGAGCGAACGGACGAGAAGCUUGCUUCUCUGAUGUUAGCGGCGGACGGGUGAGUAACACGUGGAUAACCUACCUAUAAGACUGGGAUAACUUCGGGAAACCGUAGCUAAUACCGGAUAAUAUUUUGAACCGCAUGGUUCAAAAGUGAAAGACGGUCUUGCUGUCACUUAUAGAUGGAUCCGCGCUGCAUUAGCUAGUUGGUAAGGUAACGGCUUACCAAGGCAACGAUGCAUAGCCGACCUGAGAGGGUGAUCGGCCACACUGGAACUGAGACACGGUCCAGACUCCUACGGGAGGCAGCAGUAGGGAAUCUUCCGCAAUGGGCGAAAGCCUGACGGAGCAACGCCGCGUGAGUGAUGAAGGUCUUCGGAUCGUAAAACUCUGUUAUUAGGGAAGAACAGAUGUGUAAGUAACUGUGCACAUCUUGACGGUACCUAAUCAGAAAGCCACGGCUAACUACGUG
RNAcentral lists this ribosomal RNA (497 nucleotides) under uncultured bacterium. RNAcentral describes it as "partial 16S ribosomal RNA". It matches the Rfam family "Bacterial small subunit ribosomal RNA", at positions 28 to 507 of the family's 1533-position model. The record is from RNAcentral.